ACUCGGGCACGAUCCGGGCCCGGUGCGAUCCCAUGAUGCACGCCGCUCAACGCGUCGUAAAGCAAGGGGCCGCAACCCAUGACGCCCGGAAGCGACCCGUAGUUCAAUCCUGAGGGA
This is a non-coding RNA of Corynebacterium xerosis, 117 nucleotides long. The record is from Rfam. Lineage: Bacteria; Bacillati; Actinomycetota; Actinomycetes; Mycobacteriales; Corynebacteriaceae.